This is a non-coding RNA of Pseudopodoces humilis (Tibetan ground-tit), 249 nucleotides long. The record is from RefSeq and is a predicted model, not a curated record. NCBI's taxonomy places the organism in Eukaryota, Metazoa, Chordata, Aves, Passeriformes, Paridae.
CAGGAAACUUCCCGGAGGGAUGGGCUCAGGCCGGGCUUGUGCUGCGCCGGGCUCCGCAGGGCUCCGGCCACACCGUGAGGUUAUUUGGGAAGAGAAUAAUAAUUAGCUGAACAAAACAGCACAAGAUGACUUAUGAUUCCUGCUCGUCAUGGGAACCUGUCUGGAUUGUCCCUGCAGAAUGCUACAGCUUCCUUUCCUUCAUCGUGUUCUCAGCUUGUGGAGUCAUAAACCUGAGUGGAACUUUGGGUG